GCUGGGCAUGGUGGUGCACGCCUGUAAUCCCAGAGGCUAUGGAGGCUGAGGCAGGAGGAUUGAGAGUUCAAAGCUAGCCUUAGCAAAAGCUAGGUUCUAAGCAACUCAGUGAGAUCCUGUCUCUA
Molecule: small RNA, 125 nt
Filed under: Marmota monax (woodchuck)
Lineage: Eukaryota; Metazoa; Chordata; Mammalia; Rodentia; Sciuridae
Source: RNAcentral